This 73-nucleotide transfer RNA is filed under the name Ailuropoda melanoleuca (giant panda). It matches the Rfam family "tRNA". From Rfam's summary of the family: Transfer RNA (tRNA) molecules are approximately 80 nucleotides in length. Their secondary structure includes four short double-helical elements and three loops (D, anti-codon, and T loops). Further hydrogen bonds mediate the characteristic L-shaped molecular structure. tRNAs have two regions of fundamental functional importance: the anti-codon, which is responsible for specific mRNA codon recognition, and the 3' end, to which the tRNAs corresponding amino acid is attached (by aminoacyl-tRNA synthetases). tRNAs cope with the degeneracy of the genetic code in two manners: having more than one tRNA (with a specific anti-codon) for a particular amino acid; and 'wobble' base-pairing, i.e. permitting non-standard base-pairing at the 3rd anti-codon position. Lineage: Eukaryota; Metazoa; Chordata; Mammalia; Carnivora; Ursidae. The record is from Rfam by way of RNAcentral.
GCCCAGCUGGCUCAGUUGGUAGAGCAUGAGACUCUUGAUCUUGGAGCUGUGAGUUCGAGCCCCACACUGGGUG